GCUCCAGUAGCGCAAUCGGUUGGCGCGCGGUACUUAUAUGACAGUAUAGAGCAAUGCCGAGGUUGUGAGUUCGAGCCUCACCUGGAGCA
This 89-nucleotide transfer RNA is filed under the name Danionella translucida. It matches the Rfam family "tRNA". From Rfam's summary of the family: Transfer RNA (tRNA) molecules are approximately 80 nucleotides in length. The record is from Rfam by way of RNAcentral. RNAcentral also lists the same sequence under 1 other name. Lineage: Eukaryota; Metazoa; Chordata; Actinopteri; Cypriniformes; Danionidae.